CGACCGCUGGCGGCGUGCUUAACACAUGCACGUCGAACGGAAAGGCCCUGCUUUUGUGGGGUGCUCGAGUGGCGAACGGGUGAGUAACACGUGAGUAACCUGCCCUUGACUUUGGGAUAACUUCAGGAAACUGGGGCUAAUACCGGAUAGGAGCUCCUGCUGCAUGGUGGGGGUUGGAAAGUUUCGGCGGUUGGGGAUGGACUCGCGGCUUAUCAGCUUGUUGGUGGGGUAGUGGCUUACCAAGGCUUUGACGGGUAGCCGGCCUGAGAGGGUGACCGGCCACAUUGGGACUGAGAUACGGCCCAGACUCCUACGGGAGGCAGCAGUGGGGAAUAUUGCACAAUGGGCGGAAGCCUGAUGCAGCAACGCCGCGUGCGGGAUGACGGCCUUCGGGUUGUAAACCGCUUUCGCCUGUGACGAAGCGUGAGUGACGGUAAUGGGUAAAGAAGCACCGGCCAACUACGUG
This 466-nucleotide ribosomal RNA is filed under the name uncultured bacterium. RNAcentral's name for it is "partial 16S ribosomal RNA". It matches the Rfam family "Bacterial small subunit ribosomal RNA", at positions 30 to 507 of the family's 1533-position model. The record is from RNAcentral.